CAGCGGGGUGAGCGUGAUCCUGGGCGCGCUCACGCUGUGGCACGCGCGACUCGUGACGCGCGGGGAAACGAGCGUGGAGCGGCGUCUCAACGAGAGGACGCGCGCGCACGCCAACGCUCGCGGGCAGGUGUACAGGAACCCGUACGAUCACGGCCCACUUGGAAACUGGAAGCGGUUUUUGGGAGUCGGGCACAAAAGGCACUGGGCCACGCGAGUCCUGCUGCCGUCCGCGCACCUUCCCGCGGGCGACGGAGCGUUGUGGAACGCGUGAUGUGUCCGCUCGCAACCCAUUUCUUCUCUCCAUCCGGUCGCUUCAACGUCAGCGUCCCCGCAACAAACGGCAGCUUUUCAACCCGGAGCGAUCGCCGAUUAGUCAACACCAAGCUGGAAACGCAACGGCCCUUGCCUAAGGCCGUUGUGUGAAACGUGCGAGUUGGCGGCCUUGCCAAAUUGCGUUUGAAGUGUAGCUUUACUGCUGUUAUUUGUGGGUACUUGUUUUAGUUCCAACCUGACCAAGCCGAGAGUGCGAAACGUCGGACAUUGUGCUAAACAGCAGAGGCGGUACAACCCAAAAUCACGCAUCCUAUGCAGUUGGAGAUUAAAAUAAUAUUUUUUUGGCCAAUGCACAUUUUUGAAAAUUCAAGUUGAAGAUUUUCAUCUACUCUGGGCAAGGCUGAAUUGUUUACAAAUCAAAAUAAGAGUUGAUGUAGUGCCUUGAAUUUACAUUGCCCUUUUCAGAUUUUUACUUCAACUUACAUCUCAUAAUUGUAAUUUAAAAAUAUAUUUGAAAUUACUUUCUAGCACUAGUCUCUACAUACUACUGAACAAUGCACUUACAAUUAUUUAAACUUUGG
Long non-coding RNA from Lethenteron reissneri (Far Eastern brook lamprey), 854 nucleotides. RefSeq lists it as uncharacterized. NCBI's taxonomy places the organism in Eukaryota, Metazoa, Chordata, Hyperoartia, Petromyzontiformes, Petromyzontidae. The record is from RefSeq and is a predicted model, not a curated record.